This 253-nucleotide ribosomal RNA is filed under the name uncultured bacterium. RNAcentral's name for it is "partial 16S ribosomal RNA". It matches the Rfam family "Bacterial small subunit ribosomal RNA", at positions 524 to 776 of the family's 1533-position model. The record is from RNAcentral.
CACGUAGGGCGCAAGCGUUGUCCGGAAUUAUUGGGCGUAAAGAGCUCGUAGGCGGUCUGUUACGUCUGCUGUGAAAACCCAGGGCUUAACCCUGGGCUUGCAGUGGAUACGGGCAGACUAGAGGCAGGUAGGGGAGAAUGGAAUUCCCGGUGUAGCGGUGAAAUGCGCAGAUAUCGGGAGGAACACCGGUGGCGAAGGCGGUUCUCUGGGCCAUUACUGACGCUGAGGAGCGAAAGCGUGGGGAGCGAACAGG